GGGGUUGUGGCUCAGUGGUAGAGUGCUUGCCUAGCAUGCAUGAGGCACUAGGUUCUAUCCCCAGCACCA
RNAcentral lists this transfer RNA (69 nucleotides) under Urocitellus parryii (Arctic ground squirrel). RNAcentral describes it as "Spermophilus parryii (Arctic ground squirrel) tRNA". It matches the Rfam family "tRNA". Rfam says of the family: Transfer RNA (tRNA) molecules are approximately 80 nucleotides in length. The record is from Rfam by way of RNAcentral. RNAcentral also lists the same sequence under 2 other names. Lineage: Eukaryota; Metazoa; Chordata; Mammalia; Rodentia; Sciuridae.